Molecule: ribosomal RNA, 253 nt
Filed under: uncultured prokaryote
Description: partial 16S ribosomal RNA
Rfam family: Bacterial small subunit ribosomal RNA
Source: RNAcentral
UACGAAGGGGGCUAGCGUUGCUCGGAAUGACUGGGCGUAAAGGGCGCGUAGGCGGUGAACACAGUUAGGCGUGAAAUUCCCGGGCUCAACCUGGGGGCUGCGUUUAAUACAUGUUCGCUUGAGUUCGGAAGAGGGUCGUGGAAUUCCCAGUGUAGAGGUGAAAUUCGUAGAUAUUGGGAAGAACACCGGUGGCGAAGGCGGCGACCUGGUCCGAUACUGACGCUGAGGCGCGAAAGCUAGGGGAGCGAACGGG